UUUACAAAUAUGUAUUCUUAUACGUCUGCGCUUUAAUAUUUCUAGAAUAUAUUUUAACAUGAUAGAUCGAGAGAUACAUGUUCGCCAAUUUCAUCUAUUUUGCGUUAUGAUGAAGAACAGUUAGAAAAUUACGAUUUGAGCCACAGUGACGAUAAACGGCGGUGCAAUUGCCGCUGAUUUGCAUAUACACAGAAAGAAAGGCGUUUUCCUGGACCCGACUGACGUAGCACGCAACACGUGCCUAAUUAUUUUCUUGUGGCUUACCGCGUGUUUCUCCUGCUUAUUGUACCGCGAUAUAACAAUCCAACCUGGAAAAUCUCCCGAUGUUUUUCACCCGUGGAAUAUUCAUAUACGGGCGCCAGUAGGUGAUCGCGGAUUAAUUAUGCAACACGUUGUUGCAAAACGUUACGGUCUAGAAAUAUGGAUUUUCCUGUUUCCCACGAUUGUAUGCGGCGAAUGCCAUUCUGUCUAUGGAUCGAUCGGUAUUUAUUUCCGCGAACUUCUCGCAGACACGCGUUGACGAGGUUGCACGUGCAUUCAUAAGGUCUAGUACAGCAAUCUUGAAGCUCGUUGAAUAAACAUAAAGCGCACCUGCGACAACAGCGAUUGUUUGCUGAAACUUUCGGUAUAUCAUGUUGCUUGAAACUUUUAUCUAGUGAAGCGUUCUUUAAACAGCUGAGCUAACAGAAUUAGUAUGCAGAGAACGAUCGGAGCUUCUUCAGCCGUAACGUUCCCCACGCAAACCUCAGGAGUGGAUUUAUUUGUCAAUGUCGAAUCGAUUUAAAACCUUGUAUCUUUCGUCACUUUUUAUUCAAGGUUUUUG
Pseudomyrmex gracilis is the source of this 823-nucleotide long non-coding RNA. RefSeq lists it as uncharacterized. The transcript has 3 exons. Lineage: Eukaryota; Metazoa; Arthropoda; Insecta; Hymenoptera; Formicidae. The record is from RefSeq and is a predicted model, not a curated record.